Molecule: ribosomal RNA, 1000 nt
Filed under: Burkholderia vietnamiensis
Lineage: Bacteria; Pseudomonadati; Pseudomonadota; Betaproteobacteria; Burkholderiales; Burkholderiaceae
Description: bacterial SSU rRNA
Rfam family: Bacterial small subunit ribosomal RNA
Source: RNAcentral
CGCGGCGGCAUGCUUACACUGCAAGUCGAACGGCAGCACGGGUGCUUGCACUGGUGGCGAAUGGCGAACGGGUGAGUAAUACAUCGGAACAUGUCCUGUAGUGGGGGAUAGCCCGGCGAAAGCCGGAUUAAUACCGCAUACGAUCUAUGGAUGAAAGCGGGGGACUUCGGGCCUCGCGCUAUAGGGUUGGCCGAUGGCUGAUAGCUAGUUGGUGGGGUAAAGGCCUACCAAGGCGACGAUCAGUAGCUGGUCUGAGAGGACGACCAGCCACACUGGGACUGAGACACGGCCCAGACUCCUACGGGAGGCAGCAGUGGGGAAUUUUGGACAAUGGGCGAAAGCCUGAUCCAGCAAUGCCGCGUGUGUGAAGAAGGCCUUCGGGUUGUAAAGCACUUUUGUCCGGAAAGAAAUCCUUGGCUCUAAUACAGUCGGGGGAUGACGGUACCGGAAGAAUAAGCACCGGCUAACUACGUGCCAGCAGCCGCGGUAAUACGUAGGGUGCAAGCGUUAAUCGGAAUUACUGGGCGUAAAGCGUGCGCAGGCGGUUUGCUAAGACCGAUGUGAAAUCCCCGGGCUCAACCUGGGAACUGCAUUGGUGACUGGCAGGCUAGAGUAUGGCAGAGGGGGGUAGAAUUCCACGUGUAGCAGUGAAAUGCGUAGAGAUGUGGAGGAAUACCGAUGGCGAAGGCAGCCCCCUGGGCCAAUACUGACGCUCAUGCACGAAAGCGUGGGGAGCAAACAGGAUUAGAUACCCUGGUAGUCCACGCCCUAAACGAUGUCAACUAGUUGUUGGGGAUUCAUUUCCUUAGUAACGUAGCUAACGCGUGAAGUUGACCGCCUGGGGAGUACGGUCGCAAGAUUAAAACUCAAAGGAAUUGACGGGGACCCGCACAAGCGGUGGAUGAUGUGGAUUAAUUCGAUGCAACGCGAAAAACCUUACCUACCCUUGACAUGGUCGGAAUCCUGAAGAGAUUCGGGAGUGCUCGAAAGAGAACCGGCG